Mustela putorius furo (domestic ferret) is the source of this 80-nucleotide non-coding RNA. NCBI's taxonomy places the organism in Eukaryota, Metazoa, Chordata, Mammalia, Carnivora, Mustelidae. The record is from Rfam.
AACUUUGCACAGUGGCAGUAUCGAAGCCAAUGAGGUUUAUCUGAGGCGCAAUUAUUGCUAAAUGGAUUUUCUACAUAAAA